AUACGGAGGGUGCGAGCGUUAAUCGGAAUUACUGGGCGUAAAGGGUGCGUAGGCGGCUUGAUAAGUCGGAUGUGAAAGCCCCGGGCUUAACCUGGGAAUUGCAUUCGAUACUGUCAGGCUAGAGUAUGUCAGAGGUUGGCGGAAUUCCUGGUGUAGCGGUGAAAUGCGUAGAUAUCAGGAGGAACACCAGUGGCGAAGGCGGCUAACUGGGGCAAUACUGACGCUGAGGCACGAAAGCGUGGGGAGCAAACAGGGUUAGAAACCCUAGUAGUCC
This 274-nucleotide ribosomal RNA is filed under the name uncultured bacterium. RNAcentral's name for it is "partial 16S ribosomal RNA". It matches the Rfam family "Bacterial small subunit ribosomal RNA", at positions 523 to 796 of the family's 1533-position model. The record is from RNAcentral.